AACCCUACCGUCAUUCACUUUCCUAUUUCUUAACCUAACCUACGGGAGAAAGGGAAAUAAGGAAAGAAAGGGAAAAUAAGGAAAACGGGGGAAGAAAGGGGAAAUAAGAAAAGAAAGGGGAAAUAAGGAAGGCAGGGGGGAACUUGAGAAGUGGGGAACUGAGAAAGGAAGAAAGGGAAAGCGAGUGACGAGAGAAAGAGAAGCGGAGAGGGAGAAGAAGAAGAAAAGUGAGUUGAGAGGAAGAAGUCGCCGCCACUGCGGUCCGCGUUCACGUCGUCGUCGUCGUAGCGUCGCCAUCCUUGCGCCAGUCGCUGCCGCUGUCGGCGAUGAAGCCCGUCGCCGCCAUUCGCAUCGCCGCCACCGCCAGAACUACACGCCGUCGCUGGAGUCUGAACGCCGCUGCAACCACCACGUGUUAUCAUCUUCAGAUCCGCCGAAGGAAACUGUUGCGGAGCAGUCGUCCCCGCCACGAAGUCCGUCGCCGUUGCUGCUGCUGUCAGCGCCGUUGUCUAUGGGUGAGGCAGAGGAGAGAGAUCCGGGAGGAAGGGAGGAUCGGGACCUGUCCAGCCACCGCGCACAGUUGCCGCUCCUAUCGCCGGCCAUCCUCAUCAAAUCCGCCGCCUCCGAAGCUUCGGGCCACGAUUUCUGACCGUGCCUCUGCCGCCGGAGAGCGCUGCUGCCACGGAAACCGCCUUUGAAGCCUGUGUAUGUUAGAAACUGUCGCCGGAACCCCUGUCUUAUUGGUUUGGAUUCCGGUAUUUGCGCGUUGUAAUUAAGGUUGUUAUUGAACCACCGGAGCUUCGGGAAGUGCCGGAGCUGCCGCCUGAUCGGUUCAGAGAGUCACUGCUGCUUUGUUUCUCGUGAAAAGUGUUGUUGCCGCGAUUCUUGAUGCCGCUGUUGAUAUUGUCUGAAAAUAAACAAAAGAGGAAUUGAUGAGUCUAACUACUGAGCUUUGACUAAAUCGAGACCGUGUGGUUAGGUUCUCGCCCCCCUACAGCUUUACCUUUUCAGGAACCAAAUGAAGAGGCAUUAAGGAGUGUUAUACUGCGUUUGGUUUAUAUAUUUUUGUAUUAAUUAGCUUAUUUUCUUCCCUCGUCUUUGUUAUUACAAAUUUGUAAGAGGGAUAGGAGUUGUAUGUUUUAUAUGUAAAUUGUAUUAUGAGUUAUUAUAUAAGGAGUUUUGUAUAUGAAUC
Non-coding RNA from Arachis ipaensis, 1192 nucleotides. NCBI's taxonomy places the organism in Eukaryota, Viridiplantae, Streptophyta, Magnoliopsida, Fabales, Fabaceae. The record is from RefSeq and is a predicted model, not a curated record.